UGGUAGUCCAGACCGUAAACGGUGGGCACUAGUUGUGGGAACCUUCCACGGUUUCUGCGACGCAGCUAACGCAUUAAGUGCCCCGCCUGGGGAGUACGAUCGCAAGAUUAAAACUCAAAGGAAUUGACGGGGCCCCGCACAAGCAGCGGAGCAUGCGGCUUAAUUCGACGCAACGCGAAGAACCUUACCAAGGCUUGACAUAUAGGGAAAAGUGGCAGAGAUGUCAUGUCCGCAAGGGCUCUAUACAGGUGGUGCAUGGUUGUCGUCAACUCGUGUCGUGAGAUGUUGGGUUAAGUCCCGCAACGAGCGCAACCCUCGUUCUGUGUUGCCAGCAUUUAGUUGGGGACUCACAGAAGACUGCCGGGGUUAACUCGGAGGAAGGUGGGGAUGACGUCAAAUCAUCAUGCCCCUUAUGUCUUGGGCUGCACGCAUGCUACAAUGGCCGGUACAGAGGACUGCAAUACCGUAAGGUGGAGCGAAUCCCAAAAAGCCGGUCUCAGUUCGGAUUGAGGUCUGCAACUCGACCUCAUGAAGUUGGAGUUGCUAGUAAUCGUAGAUCAGCAUCGCUACGGUGAAUACGUUCCCGGGGCUUGUACACGCCGCCCGUCACGUCACGAAAGUCGGUAACACCCAAAGUCAGUGGCCCAAC
RNAcentral lists this ribosomal RNA (649 nucleotides) under uncultured Actinomycetes bacterium. Its description in RNAcentral is "bacterial SSU rRNA". It matches the Rfam family "Bacterial small subunit ribosomal RNA", at positions 788 to 1439 of the family's 1533-position model. The record is from RNAcentral. Lineage: Bacteria; Bacillati; Actinomycetota; Actinomycetes.